RNAcentral lists this ribosomal RNA (394 nucleotides) under uncultured bacterium. RNAcentral describes it as "partial 16S ribosomal RNA". It matches the Rfam family "Bacterial small subunit ribosomal RNA", at positions 523 to 918 of the family's 1533-position model. The record is from RNAcentral.
AUACGGAAGGUCCGGGCGUUAUCCGGAUUUAUUGGGUUUAAAGGGAGCGUAGGCCGUGUAUUAAGUGUGUUGUGAAAUGUAGAUGCUCAACAUCUGAACUGCAGCGCAUACUGGUGCACUUGAGUACGCACAACGUAGGCGGAAUUCGUCGUGUAGCGGUGAAAUGCUUAGAUAUGACGAAGAACUCCGAUUGCGAAGGCAGCUUACGGGAGCGCAACUGACGCUGAUGCUCGAAGGUGCGGGUAUCGAACAGGAUUAGAUACCCUGGUAGUCCGCACAGUAAACGAUGGACACCCGCGGUUUGGCCUGUAUGGCUGAGCCGCCAAGCGAAAGCGUUAAGUGUCCCACCUGGGGAGUACGCCGGCAACGGUGAAACUCAAAGGAAUUGGCGGGG